GUUUCAGCCGCCGCGGUAAUACGGAAGGUCCGGGCGUUAUCCGGAUUUAUUGGGUUUAAAGGGAGCGUAGGCCGGAGAUUAAGCGUGUUGUGAAAUGUAGAUGCUCAACAUCUGCACUGCAGCGCGAACUGGUUUCCUUGAGUACGCACAAAGUGGGCGGAAUUCGUGGUGUAGCGGUGAAAUGCUUAGAUAUCACGAAGAACUCCGAUUGCGAAGGCAGCUCACUGGAGCGCAACUGACGCUGAAGCUCGAAAGUGCGGGUAUCGAACAGGAUUAGAUACCCUGAUAGUCCGCACGGUAAACGAUGGAUGCCCGCUGUUGGUCUGAAUAGGUCAGCGGCCAAGCGAAAGCAUUAAGCAUCCCACCUGGGGAGUACGCCGGCAACGGUGAAACUCAAAGGAAUUGACGGGGGCCCGCACAAGCGGAGGAACAUGUGGUUUAAUUCGAUGAUACGCGAGGAACCUUACCCGGGCUUGAAUUGCAGAGGAAGGAUUUGGAGACAAUGACGCCCUUCGGGGUCUCUGUGAAGGUGCUGCAUGGUUGUCGUCAGCUCGUGCCGUGAGGUGUCGGCUUAAGUGCCAUAACGAGCGCAACCCCUCUCCUUAGUUGCCAUCAGGUCAGGCUGGGCACUCUGGGGACACUGCCACCGUAAGGUGUGAGGAAGGUGGGGAUGACGUCAAAUCAGCACGGCCCUUACGUCCGGGGCUACACACGUGUUACAAUGGCAGGUACAGAGAGAUGGUGUUCUGCAAAGCGCAUCUAAUCCUUAAAGCCUGUCUCAGUUCGGACUGGGGUCUGCAACCCGACCCCACGAAGCUGGAUUCGCUAGUAAUCGCGCAUCAGCCAUGGCGCGGUGAAUACGUUCCCGGGCCUUGUACACACCGCCCGUCAAAC
This 894-nucleotide ribosomal RNA is filed under the name uncultured bacterium. RNAcentral describes it as "bacterial SSU rRNA". It matches the Rfam family "Bacterial small subunit ribosomal RNA", at positions 505 to 1402 of the family's 1533-position model. The record is from RNAcentral.